Long non-coding RNA from Symphalangus syndactylus (siamang), 1691 nucleotides. RefSeq lists it as uncharacterized. Lineage: Eukaryota; Metazoa; Chordata; Mammalia; Primates; Hylobatidae. The record is from RefSeq and is a predicted model, not a curated record.
GCUUACUCACGACCCGCGACCCCAAGUCUCUGGCAGCGCGCUUUGCCCUCAGCAUCGGAUUCCUUCCUAGGACCGGGAGACCUUUGUGACUUCCCGGGCACUCCCGACCUCUCUGAAGUGCUCUUUUAUCUUUUGGUGUAGGAGAGACUACCGGCGAGAGGAAAUCUUUCCUGAAGGAGGAGUUAAGUUUUUUGUGUUAGCUGUUUCUCUUUAGAAAAAUGCUCUGGAGAAGUGACAGCUUUGGUUGAUUGUGAUCACCCAGUGUUCUUUGACUCUUUAGGGACUUUGUUAAAAUUCACGAUUUCUAAUUUUCUGCUGCUAAUAGGACUGCUGACGGAUAAAUCCUGGGAAAAAAUCAGCCAAGUUCUUCAACUCUGUAACGUAGCACCUGAUCCUUGACCUAGCUUGCUGACAUCUUUUGAAAGUGGGUGAGAUGAAGUAGAAAACAGAAUGAGGACAUCUAAAUAUUUUUAGGUGGACUGGCUAACUGUGGGCCCUUUGUGACUUUGAUCUUGAAAGCAAACUAAAGUUCUGCCGGGUGAAGAUCAAGCACCAGCAGAUUUGGUGACUAUUGAGGGCCUAUUCCUCAUUCAUAGAUGUCACUUUCUGGCUGUUUCCUCACAUGGUGGAUGGAGCAAGCUACCCCUCUGAGGUCUCUUUUAUAAAGGUACUAAUCGCAUUCAUGAGGGCUGUACCCUCAUGACUUAAUCACCUCCCAAAGGUCCCACUUCUUAAUACCAUCACUUUGGGGGGUUAGGAUUUCAACAUGAAUUUUGUGGGGGAUACCAGCAAACAUUCAGACUAUAGCUGGGUAGCUGACAGAAAGCUCCCCUACCCCACAUGUGGAUGGAAAAACAGUGUCUAUUUGCUUCCCAUUCUUCAGGCACUUCCUUUCCCUGUUGGAUCUAGUAGAUUGGUGAUGCAGGUUUUCUUCUUUUGAAAUGACACUGCUGUUUUUCCCAGUAGAUUUGCCCCCUCUUUUUAACAAAAAUAAUUGUAAAAGCAGUGAGAAAUUGUUCAGGAAAAUAUUACCUGUAAUUAUAACAUCUGAAUGCUAUUAUUUUCAUUUUUGUCUGCAUAUAUCCCUCGACAUUCAAACUUUUGCUGUCCAAACUUGGGAACCAAAUAGAUUUAUUCAGUAAAGGGUAUCUGACAUCAUAAUCUUUGUCUCUACUCUUGGUCAUUUUUACCUAAUUGCAGUCAAAGUGUUCAUAAUAAUUUGCAGUCAUGAGUACACACAUUUAGUUUUGUUUAAAUGCUAAAAACUGUAACACUUGUGGAAGGUUCUGCUGGAUAUUCCAACAUAAAAAUGAAAUUCAUCAAUCUUGUUCCUAGGAUAUACCCUUGAGUAUAGCACAUGCUGUGUAGUUCUGUGCCAGUAACUGCAAAUGAAAUGGGUUAGGAGGAGAGUACUGUCCUAAUAGUGGAAAGAACACUGGAUUGAAAGUUAAGGGUGCUUUAAGUAUAUUUGAGGUAUAUGCUUUUGCUUCUUAGCAAAUAACUAAUGCGAUCAUCUUGAAGAAGUAGGGGUUAGGUCUUCCUCCAUGCUCUGAAAGUAGGUUGUCUUUCUUUCGUUAAAAUGAAUCUUACUUACCUGUAAAUGAAGGACCUCUUUCAGAGUGUCCUCAUAAUAUGAUGCUUCUCACUAAUUGAUACAGCUUUUUGUGGAAAAUUCUUAAAUGAAGAUGUCU